Pelobates cultripes (western spadefoot toad) is the source of this 223-nucleotide non-coding RNA. NCBI's taxonomy places the organism in Eukaryota, Metazoa, Chordata, Amphibia, Anura, Pelobatidae. The record is from the annotation of a GenBank genome assembly.
CUAGGAAUUCAUGGAAAAUCCAGGAAAAAAGUGCAGGUAAGUAUGUUUUCUAUAUAUUUCCUAUAUAUUUGGCUACAGGGUACAGAUUGGAUUGUAUUACAUCCCCAAAUGGGACCUUGCCAUUUAUGCAUGGCUGGUUUACUUUAUGUGUGGGACUACAUUUAAUUUAAGUGGCUUAGGUCUGGGGUAAAAAAAAAGGGUCAUUUACCAGAUUAAAUGUGUG